RNAcentral lists this ribosomal RNA (234 nucleotides) under Serratella serrata. RNAcentral describes it as "partial 12S ribosomal RNA". The record is from RNAcentral. Lineage: Eukaryota; Metazoa; Arthropoda; Insecta; Ephemeroptera; Ephemerellidae.
GGCGGUGGUUUAACUANNUCRRAGGAAUUUGCCCCGUAAUCGAUAAUCCUCGUUUGAUCUUACUUAACUUUGUAUUCAGCUUGUAUACCGCCGUCAUCAGGAAAUUUUAUGAAAAUAUUUCCGAGAGUUAAAGAAACAUGUCAGGUCAAGGUGCAGUUUAUGGUUAAGAGAGAGGUGAAUUACAAUAAAAUUAUUUAUUACGAACUGAAAUGAAAAAAGAGAGGAAGGUGGAUU